AGAGCUUGGAGAAGAGAAAGAAACGAGUGUGUGUAUGAUUUUGAAGGAAGGUUAUUUGUAGGAUGUGCAAGUUGCAGUGAAGUUUCGGGAGACUAACAGGAAUGGAAUCUUAUUUGAAAUAUUCCACAUUGAAGGGUGGAUUUGUGGAACUCUGAAUGGGAAUCUAUUCCAUGUGACUACAGAGUUCAGACUUAAGAACAAUGGAAGAACAUUCUAGGAGACCAAAUCUAACUGUGUAUAAGGAAUAUCAUUUUCACAAUUUCAGCUGUCCCUCCCACCAAAGGGCAGGCGACUGUGCUUUUGAUCUUUUUUAUCGCCAAUGCCUGGCAACAUGCCCGACUUGCAGUCGACUUCAGUGUUGGUUUACUAAAUCCAUUAAUAGGUGUUCAAAAACAGCAUGAAGAGCUAAAUGAUGAGAAAAUUUCCAACUUCGCUAAGGCCUACUCUUGUUCUCUUCUAGUCACAAGCUCAUCAUGAUGGCCCUCUGUGGAGCAGCUUGCUCCGGUGAGCGUGCAUUCAGCUAUCAAAUCCCAGGAGGCCCAUUAGACCUCAACCAAAUGACAGCCCGUAAAGUUCCUCGGAGUGAAGAAUUAGGUUGAGCUGUUAACCUUCCCCAUGCAAAGGACAACAAAGAAAUUCUAGUAAGAGGCAAAAGGACAGAAACUCAAUUUACUGUUUUACUAUUAAAUUCUCAUCCCUCGCUCACAGAAAAAAAUGUGUUCGCUUUCACAGCCAUUUUCCUUUGGCGCUUGGCAUAGGAGUCUACCUGCAGCAGCCUCUGCUUCUCCGCCAUUUAUUAUCCCAUUCCCGCGUGCUGCCUACUCCACUCAAGCACCUUCUAUAAAGUGAUACUGCCUAAGCUGAAGUGCUAAAAUCUGCCUGCCCUAAAUGGGAUAUGAAAAUGUGGGAAUAUUAGCCCUUAAACAGUAGGCUAGAAUUUCUUUCAUCCAUCUAUCCCUAAGGCAAACUGGGUUUUAAAGCCAAAAUCACAGGUUGCCUUUUGCUUUGUAAAUCAGCAGUUGGAUGUGUAAUUGGGGUUUUUUUUUUUAAAUGUCAAAAUGACUCUUGGGUGUUGAUUUGGCAAGUGGAAAUAACAUAGAAAGGCUGUAUAAGUAGUUUUAGAAUGGCAGUUAAAAUCUCAUAAUCUGACUUUAACAAUUGAUUUUGCUCCAAAUUUCCAUAUUGGUAUUAUUCAGCUUUUGGCUGAGGAUCUGGAAAUGGAACUUUUCCCGGUGAAACUUGGACUAAACCUAAUAUUGAACUUAUCGUGUUCAUAGUUUGGGUAGGUAAAUUUUAUACAUCUAAUUUGCAGACCAGCUUAUAGAAACAGGAGAUGAAAAGCCCAUUUCAUUUAUUCCCCUGGUGGGGUGGAACAUUUUCUUCCAAUAUGUUUUCCAAUUUACUUUUGAAAUUUAUGGAGCUUAAGAAAAGUACCAUUCCAUUAUCUAAUAGUUCUUGCUAAUAGGCAGUUUCCUUAAAUACCCAGCCUAAAUUUUCC
Molecule: long non-coding RNA, 1498 nt
Organism: Herpailurus yagouaroundi (jaguarundi)
Lineage: Eukaryota; Metazoa; Chordata; Mammalia; Carnivora; Felidae
Exons: 3
Source: RefSeq, a predicted model, not a curated record